GCCGAGGUGGCGGAACUGGUAGACGCGCCAGACUCAAAAUUUGGUAAUGGCAACAUUGUGCGAGUUCGACUCUCGCCCUCGGCACCA
Molecule: transfer RNA, 87 nt
Filed under: Methylacidiphilales bacterium
Lineage: Bacteria; Pseudomonadati; Verrucomicrobiota; Methylacidiphilae; Methylacidiphilales
Description: Candidatus Methylacidiphilales bacterium tRNA-Leu
Rfam family: tRNA
About the family: Transfer RNA (tRNA) molecules are approximately 80 nucleotides in length. Their secondary structure includes four short double-helical elements and three loops (D, anti-codon, and T loops).
Source: RNAcentral